Long non-coding RNA from Stegostoma tigrinum, 979 nucleotides. RefSeq lists it as uncharacterized. The transcript has 3 exons. The record is from RefSeq and is a predicted model, not a curated record. NCBI's taxonomy places the organism in Eukaryota, Metazoa, Chordata, Chondrichthyes, Orectolobiformes, Stegostomatidae.
GUAGCAAAAUGAGUGCAAUAUUUGUCGAGAGAUGUUGUUCAGAAACUAUAGUACGACCUGAACUGCUGUGAACGCUUCUCACUGCAGUUUGAUGAGUCCAUCGACAGGAACAACAGAGACCAGUUAAUUUGUUAUGUCUUUAAAAACCAUGCAUGCAAAAACAACUGAAGUAGAUAUUCUCACCUUGUUGGCUGCGUGAAGAUAAAGAAAAGCUCGAGUGCUUCAAAGCCACGGUAAACAGAGAUGUUACUCAGAUAGGUAACAUUCAAUAUGAGCUGGAUGAACAGGAACUUGUCCAGGAACGCUGGGUUUUGGCGCACAAUUAUUCUUCUGCACUUCUGGAGUUGGAUGAAAACCACAUCACUGUGAAUCAGGACAGUUCCACCCUGCCAGGAGGAAGUCUAGUGAACCUUUGUUGCACCCCCUCUCUGGUUAUAAGAUUUUUCCUGGGAUAAGGAGACUAAAACUGCAGAUGGUACACGUGGUUUAACCAAGCUCCUACACACAUGAAGCAGGAAAAGCAAAGAAAAAGGGAACUGUGUGUACCAGCUGAGGGCCCCACCUCAGGGUCUUUGGCAGCUGGCUACUAAGCGAUUAGCAUGCUGGGCAGAGCCAGACUCUGGCAACAUGGAAGAGGCUGGAUGGCCCAAAGCAGUACCACAGCUGGACUCUGGUGGCCUGUGGAGAGGCGUAGCUGAUGAGCCUAGGUGGCAGUAAGCACUGAGACUGCAGCACGCUUGAGCGGAGGUCGAGCCCAGCAUGUGGGAGGACAUUGAACCCGAGGGGCAAGCCCAGCGUGCAGUGAUUGCAGACCUUUGGCUGAAGGAGGACUGUAAUGUAAUGUUGAACUUCUAACUUUACUACUUAUUUACUACUUUGUGCUGAAAAGAACUGUAAAGUUAAACUUUUAGCUUAUUUCUUUAUUUUUCUAUAUUCUAUAAGAUUUUGUACUUUGGUAUCUUGUGUAAAAUGGCAACAA